CAUCAGAUCCCUUUAGAGGUGAGCUGAUGGAAGCACUUGAGCCUUUUAUGAAAAGUGUUUCUUCAUCGCCGCCGUCUUCCCUUCCCACCACCACCGCUUCUCCUUCCUUUUCCUCCGCCCCUCUCCUCCCUUCUUUCCCCUUUACCUCCUACGACUUCCUCUCUUUCCCAAACCAGCCCAAUUUCUACCACGACGGUUGCUCCACCUCUUCUAUGACCCAAGUGUUUUCAGAUGGGUUCUUUGAGCAGCAACCGCCGUCAAUCGGGCUGAACCACCUCACCUCCUCCCAGAUCCACCAGAUCCAAGCUCAGAUCCAGUCUCAAUCCCAACCCCAACAGCCCCAAAUCUCUUGGGAUAACUACCA
RNAcentral lists this long non-coding RNA (364 nucleotides) under Malus domestica (apple). Its description in RNAcentral is "long non-coding RNA (MDOM_LNC007655)". The record is from RNAcentral. Lineage: Eukaryota; Viridiplantae; Streptophyta; Magnoliopsida; Rosales; Rosaceae.